RNAcentral lists this ribosomal RNA (473 nucleotides) under uncultured organism. RNAcentral's name for it is "partial 16S ribosomal RNA". It matches the Rfam family "Bacterial small subunit ribosomal RNA", at positions 335 to 799 of the family's 1533-position model. The record is from RNAcentral.
ACUCCUGCGGGAGGCAGCAGUGGGGAAUUUUGGACAAUGGGCGAAAGCCUGAUCCAGCAAUGCCGCGUGCAGGAUGAAGGCCUUCGGGUUGUAAACUGCUUUUGUACGGAACGAAAAAGCUCCUUCUAAUACAGGGGGCCCAUGACGGUACCGUAAGAAUAAGCACCGGCUAACUACGUGCCAGCAGCCGCGGUAAUACGUAGGGUGCGAGCGUUAAUCGGAAUUACUGGGCGUAAAGCGUGCGCAGGCGGUUAUGUAAGACAGAUGUGAAAUCCCCGGGCUCAACCUGGGAACUGCAUUUGUGACUGCAUGGCUAGAGUACGGUAGAGGGGGAUGGAAUUCCGCGUGUAGCAGUGAAAUGCGUAGAUAUGCGGAGGAACACCGAUGGCGAAGGCAAUCCCCUGGACCUGUACUGACGCUCAUGCACGAAAGCGUGGGGAGCAAACAGGAUUAGAAACCCCGGUAGUCCCAUG